GGAGAGGUGUCCGAGUGGUCGAAGGUGCACGAUUGGAAGUCGUGUAUGGUCAAAAGCCAUCGGGGGUUCGAAUCCCCCCCUCUCCG
RNAcentral lists this transfer RNA (86 nucleotides) under Candidatus Ornithospirochaeta stercoravium. Its description in RNAcentral is "tRNA-Ser". It matches the Rfam family "tRNA". From Rfam's summary of the family: Transfer RNA (tRNA) molecules are approximately 80 nucleotides in length. Their secondary structure includes four short double-helical elements and three loops (D, anti-codon, and T loops). Lineage: Bacteria; Pseudomonadati; Spirochaetota; Spirochaetia; Spirochaetales; Spirochaetaceae. The record is from RNAcentral.